CCUACGGGAGGCAGCAGUGGGGAAUAUUGCACAAUGGGCGAAAGCCUGAUGCAGCAACGCCGCGUGAGCGAUGAAGGCCUUCGGGUCGUAAAGCUCUUUCCUCAAGGAAGAUAAUGACGGUACUAGAGGAGGAAGCCACGGCUAACUACGUGCCAGCAGCCGCGGUAAUACGUAGGGGGCUAGCGUUAUCCGGAAUUACGGGGCGUAAAGGGGGCGGAGGUGGUUUGUUAAGUCAGAGGUGAAAGGCUACGGCUAAACCGUAGUAAGCAUUUGAAACUGGGAAACUUGAGUGCAGGAGAGGAGAGUGGAAUUCCUAGUGUAGCGGUGAAAUGCGUAGAUAUUAGGAGGAACACCAGUUGCGAAGGCGGCCCUCUGGACUGUAACUGACACUGAGGCACGAAAGCGUGGGGAGCAAACAGGAUUAGAUACCCGAGUAGUC
RNAcentral lists this ribosomal RNA (439 nucleotides) under uncultured bacterium. RNAcentral's name for it is "partial 16S ribosomal RNA". It matches the Rfam family "Bacterial small subunit ribosomal RNA", at positions 338 to 795 of the family's 1533-position model. The record is from RNAcentral.